Molecule: transfer RNA, 73 nt
Filed under: Mus musculus (house mouse)
Lineage: Eukaryota; Metazoa; Chordata; Mammalia; Rodentia; Muridae
Also listed under: 2 other names
Description: tRNA-Lys (CTT) (multiple tRNAs)
Rfam family: tRNA
About the family: Transfer RNA (tRNA) molecules are approximately 80 nucleotides in length.
Source: Rfam by way of RNAcentral
CCCCGGCUAGCUCAGUCAGUAGAGCUUGAGAAUCUUAAUCUCAGGGUCGUGGGUUGGAGCCCCACGUUGGGCG